RNAcentral lists this ribosomal RNA (432 nucleotides) under uncultured bacterium. RNAcentral's name for it is "partial 16S ribosomal RNA". It matches the Rfam family "Bacterial small subunit ribosomal RNA", at positions 29 to 506 of the family's 1533-position model. The record is from RNAcentral.
AACGAACGCUGGCGGCAUGCCUAACACAUGCAAGUCGAACGAGACCUUCGGGUCUAGUGGCGCACGGGUGCGUAACGCGUGGGAACCUGCCCUUAGGUUCGGAAUAACUCCCCGAAAUGGGUGCUAAUACCGGAUAAUGUCUUCGGACCAAAGAUUCAUCGCCUUUGGAUGGGCCCGCGUUCGAUUAGCUAGUUGGUAGGGUAAAAGCCUACCAAGGCGGCGAUCCAUAGCUGGGCUUAGAGGAUGAUCCGCCACACUGGGACUGAGACACGGCCCAGACUCCUACGGGAGGCAGCAGGGGGGAAUAUGGGACAAUGGGCGAAAGCCUGAUCCAGCAAGGCCGCGUGAGUGAUGAAGGCCUUAGGGUUGUAAAGCUCUUUUACCCGGGAUGAUAAGGACAGAACCGGGGGAAUAAGCUCCGGCUAACUCCGU